Molecule: ribosomal RNA, 396 nt
Filed under: uncultured bacterium
Lineage: Bacteria
Description: partial 16S ribosomal RNA
Rfam family: Bacterial small subunit ribosomal RNA
Source: RNAcentral
AUACGUAGGGAGCGAGCGUUGUCCGGAAUUACUGGGUGUAAAGGGAGCGUAGGCGGGACUGCAAGUCAGAUGUGAAAUACCGGGGCUUAACCCCGGAGCUGCAUUUGAAACUGUGGUUCUUGAGUGAAGUAGAGGCAAGCGGAAUUCCUGGGGUAGCGGUGAAAUGCGUAGAUAUCAGGAGGAACCCCGGUGGCGAAGGCGGCUUGCUGGGCUUUUACUGACGCUGAGGCUCGAAAGCGUGGGUAGCAAACAGGAUUAGAUACCCUGGUAGUCCACGCUGUAAACGAUGAUUACUAGGUGUGGGGGGACUGACCCCUUCCGUGCCGCAGUUAACACAAUAAGUAAUCCACCUGGGGAGUACGGCCGCAAGGUUGAAACUUAAAUGAAUUGACGGGG